RNAcentral lists this ribosomal RNA (497 nucleotides) under uncultured bacterium. RNAcentral's name for it is "partial 16S ribosomal RNA". It matches the Rfam family "Bacterial small subunit ribosomal RNA", at positions 28 to 507 of the family's 1533-position model. The record is from RNAcentral.
GAUGAACGCUGGCGGCGUGCCUAAUACAUGCAAGUCGAGCGAACAGACGAGGAGCUUGCUCCUCUGACGUUAGCGGCGGACGGGUGAGUAACACGUGGAUAACCUACCUAUAAGACUGGGAUAACUUCGGGAAACCGGAGCUAAUACCGGAUAAUAUAUUGAACCUCAUGGUUCAAUAGUGAAAGACGGUUUUGCUGUCACUUAUAGAUGGAUCCGCGCCGCAUUAGCUAGUUGGUAAGGUAACGGCUUACCAAGGCAACGAUGCGUAGCCGACCUGAGAGGGUGAUCGGCCACACUGGAACUGAGACACGGUCCAGACUCCUACGGGAGGCAGCAGUAGGGAAUCUUCCGCAAUGGGCGAAAGCCUGACGGAGCAACGCCGCGUGAGUGAUGAAGGUCUUCGGAUCGUAAAACUCUGUUAUUAGGGAAGAACAAAUGUGUAAGUACCUAUGCACGUCUUGACGGUACCUAAUCAGAAAGCCACGGCUAACUACGUG